Molecule: ribosomal RNA, 459 nt
Filed under: Triticum aestivum (bread wheat)
Lineage: Eukaryota; Viridiplantae; Streptophyta; Magnoliopsida; Poales; Poaceae
Description: partial small subunit ribosomal RNA
Source: RNAcentral
AUGUCGAGCUCCACUUCAGGCUCCCGCCCCUCGUGGGCCCAGUAUGGUGCACUGCCCAUGGAGCGAUGUCCUGACUGCCCACGCACCGCACCACUAAAAAGGUUGACUUUGAGGGAGGACAAGAAUGGCAACUUUGGGUGCGAGUUCGUGAAAUGCGAGAGCAAGGCAGAGGGACAGAUCGUGAAGAAAUGCAUACAUUUUGAAUGGCUGGAUGACUACAUUCGUAGGCUUCAAGGGAAGGGCAUGCUUCAAUUCAAUGGGGCCGCAACCCAGGAGCUCAAUCCACCGUCAGUCACUCAGAAUUUGGUCUUUGAAAGUGUUGCUUCGAUAGUUGGGGAGGCGGAUCUGAAGGGGGAAAUAAAGAAGAUGAACAAGAACUUGAGGAAUAUGAUUCAAUUGAACAAGCAGGUGAAUCUGAUAGCUUUAGGAUUUUAUUUUUGUAUAGUUGCUCUAGGGUGA